This 395-nucleotide ribosomal RNA is filed under the name uncultured bacterium. Its description in RNAcentral is "bacterial SSU rRNA". It matches the Rfam family "Bacterial small subunit ribosomal RNA", at positions 355 to 767 of the family's 1533-position model. The record is from RNAcentral.
UCGGGAAUUUUGGGCAAUGGGGGAAACCCUGACCCAGCAACGCCGCGUGAAGGAUGAAGUAUUUCGGUAUGUAAACUUCGAAAGAAUAGGAAGAAUAAAUGACGGUACUAUUUAUAAGGUCCGGCUAACUACGUGCCAGCAGCCGCGGUAAUACGUAGGGACCAAGCGUUGUUCGGAUUUACUGGGCGUAAAGGGCGCGUAGGCGGCAUGACAAGUCACUUGUGAAAUCUCUGGGCUUAACCCAGAACGGCCAAGUGAUACUGUCGCGCUAGAGUGCAGAAGGGGCAAUCGGAAUUCUUGGUGUAGCGGUGAAAUGCGUAGAUAUCAAGAGGAACACCUGAGGUGAAGACGGGUUGCUGGGCUGACACUGACGCUGAGGCGCGAAAGCCAGGGGG